AGUGAACGCUGGCGGUAGGCCUAACACAUGCAAGUCGAACGGCAGCACAGUAAGAGCUUGCUCGUACGGGUGGCGAGUGGCGGACGGGUGAGGAAUACAUCGGAAUCUACUUUUUCGUGGGGGAUAACGUAGGGAAACUUACGCUAAUACCGCAUACGACCUACGGGUGAAAGCAGGGGAUCUUCGGACCUUGCGCGAUUGAAUGAGCCGAUGUCGGAUUAGCUAGUUGGCGGGGUAAAGGCCCACCAAGGCGACGAUCCGUAGCUGGUCUGAGAGGAUGAUCAGCCACACUGGAACGAAGACACGGUCCAGAAUCCUACGGGAGGCAGCAGUGGGGAAUAUUGGACAAUGGGCGCAAGCCUGAUCCAGCCAUACCGCGUGGGUGAAGAAGGCCUUCGGGUUGUAAAGCCCUUUUGUUGGGAAAGAAAAGCAGCAGGUUAAUACCCCGCUGUUCUGACGGUACCCAAAGAAUAAGCACCGGCUAACUUCGUG
RNAcentral lists this ribosomal RNA (492 nucleotides) under uncultured bacterium. RNAcentral describes it as "partial 16S ribosomal RNA". It matches the Rfam family "Bacterial small subunit ribosomal RNA", at positions 29 to 507 of the family's 1533-position model. The record is from RNAcentral.